CCUGUUUGCCUUAUGUUUUGGGAAUGAUGAUUUCCUGCAUGUAAAUGUAUUUAUAUAAGAGGAUGAAGCUGCGAAAGGCAUAGCCUGAGGGUGACAGAGUGAUGUAAUCACAUAAGUGUCAACAGGCUUGGUGUGCAGGAAAAAUAUUUGUCUCAACAUGAAACACCAUGUCUAGCAGAGCUCGUGAGCUGAAUGGCCCAUCUUCUUUUAUAGCACCUGUGGAAACCAUUGCUUCAACACACCUGAUGGUUUUGAUCAACAUAAU
Molecule: non-coding RNA, 265 nt
Organism: Pelodiscus sinensis (Chinese soft-shelled turtle)
Lineage: Eukaryota; Metazoa; Chordata; Testudines; Trionychidae
Source: RefSeq, a predicted model, not a curated record